Molecule: long non-coding RNA, 280 nt
Organism: Mercenaria mercenaria
Lineage: Eukaryota; Metazoa; Mollusca; Bivalvia; Venerida; Veneridae
Exons: 2
Source: RefSeq, a predicted model, not a curated record
CGCAUGUUCUGACUGGCAGCUUUCUGGUGGCCGUAUAGACAAUGAGGAUUUUAUUGAGGUCACUUACCGGGACGAAAGGGUAAACUUGUGUGCGGAUACGUCACAGAACUUAGAGGAAGUGUGCAAAAAAUUAGGAAAGUCUGUGGAUGAAAGUAGAAAUGUCUUCAAUGCUAGUCGGAAAGAGAAAGCCAUUUCGUUUAUAAAUGUGGCAAAUAAAUGUGGCAAAGAGGAAAAGAAGAAAAACACUUGUGGUGGAGAUGUGAUCAUUGACUGUUGCCAA